RNAcentral lists this long non-coding RNA (424 nucleotides) under Homo sapiens (human). Its description in RNAcentral is "HSALNT0068734". The record is from RNAcentral. Lineage: Eukaryota; Metazoa; Chordata; Mammalia; Primates; Hominidae.
CUCGGGCCUCAGGACGUGGGAGGCCUUUCCCCCACAGCCGCUCCCUCAACACUCCCAGUCCUCCACUUCACUGCAGUGGUGAUCUAGGGAGCACGCCACACAUGGACCUGCGGCACUGCACUUUACAGUUUAUGAAGCAUUUCCACUGAUGGGAUCCCCUUCGCUCCUGGUCAUGCCCAGCAAGGAGAAGAUCAGUCAUCUACAGCUGCAUGACAAACCGCCCACCUCAGCGGCGUAGCAUCGUUUAUGGCCGUUUUCUCUUCUGGUGUCUGGGAGCUGACUGGGCUCAGCCGGGCUGCUCGCUGUCAGGGUCUCUCAUGAGGCUGCAGUCAAUGGCUGGUGCAGCAGUCAUCUCAAAGCUUGCCUCACUCAGAUGGCCAGCAAUUAAUGCAGGCAGUCAGCUAACCCCUCACCUGGACCAUCG